GGAUGUCAGAGUGAUCUGGCUGCAACAUCUCUCACCCCAUUGAUCACCAGGGUUGAUUCAGCUGAUCUGGCUGGCUCGGCAGGGUCCCCUUUCUCCCUCACUGCUCUGCAUGCAUCCGUCCCGAAGCUGUGCUCUGUAGUUAGAGGAGGACUGUUCUUCCGUCAAGGGUGUACGAGUUGCUGCCCUCCUUUGCUAGAACCUCCAAAGAAGCUCUCAGGGUCCAGCUGCAGGAGGACCUAGGCUAGUCAAGCUUCCAAGGCUCCAGACACAUCCAAAUGAGGCGCCACAUGGGAUGAUCUGCCUUUCUUU
Molecule: unclassified non-coding RNA, 309 nt
Organism: Ursus americanus (American black bear)
Lineage: Eukaryota; Metazoa; Chordata; Mammalia; Carnivora; Ursidae
Gene: 7SK
Rfam family: 7SK RNA
About the family: 7SK was discovered as an abundant small nuclear RNA in the mid-70s but a possible function has only recently been suggested. Two independent studies have found that 7SK RNA binds the CDK9/cyclin T complex (known as elongation factor P-TEFb).
Source: Ensembl